CAGCAGCCACGGUAAUACGUAGGGUGCGAGCGUUAAUCGGAAUUACUGGGCGUAAAGCGUGCGCAGGCGGUUCGUUAAGACAGAUGUGAAAUCCCCGGGCUUAACCUGGGAACUGCAUUUGUGACUGGCGAGCUAGAGUAUGGCAGAGGGGGGUAGAAUUCCACGUGUAGCAGUGAAGUGCGUAGAGAUGUGGAGGAAUACCGAUGGCGAAGGCAGCCCCCUGGGCCAAUACUGACGCUCAUGCACGAAAGCGUGGGGAGCAAACGGGAUUAGAUACCCGGUCCCUGUCUCUUAUACACAU
RNAcentral lists this ribosomal RNA (301 nucleotides) under uncultured bacterium. RNAcentral's name for it is "partial 16S ribosomal RNA". It matches the Rfam family "Bacterial small subunit ribosomal RNA", at positions 509 to 816 of the family's 1533-position model. The record is from RNAcentral.